This 387-nucleotide long non-coding RNA is filed under the name Homo sapiens (human). Its description in RNAcentral is "HSALNT0266916". The record is from RNAcentral. Lineage: Eukaryota; Metazoa; Chordata; Mammalia; Primates; Hominidae.
AUUGAAGUGGAGCCAUAAAUCCUGGCUCAUUAUCCCCAGAAACCAGAGGGAUCAGGUUGACUUGAAGAGGAGCCAAAGGCCACUUCCUCUUGGAAUCCAGCUGCCAUGCUGGGAGAAUUCUAAGCCACAUGGAGUGGCCAACCAUGUAACUGGGCUCUCAGCCAACAGCAAGCGUCAACUGCCCACCAUAUGAAUGCGCUGUCUUCCAUCCAGCCCUCGAGCCUUCAGAUGACUGCAGCCCUAGCCCCCAUCUGACUGCAGCUGCAGAAAGAAACACUCAACUGGGCACAGUCAACCCCGGAAACAUAAUAAAUUACUGUUUUGUUUUUGUUUUUGAGAUGGGGUCUCACUCUAUCACCCAGGCGGGAGUGCAGUGGUGUGAUAUCG